RNAcentral lists this microRNA precursor (84 nucleotides) under Bombyx mori (domestic silkworm). Its description in RNAcentral is "mir-2807 microRNA precursor family". It matches the Rfam family "mir-2807 microRNA precursor family". Lineage: Eukaryota; Metazoa; Arthropoda; Insecta; Lepidoptera; Bombycidae. The record is from Rfam by way of RNAcentral.
UUAACUCAGAUUUGUAUGGAAUGGGAUCGUUUGCGUACGUUUGCCGCUAGGGGCGCUGUUCCAACUGCAUACAAAUUUGGGGUA